This 692-nucleotide long non-coding RNA is filed under the name Panax ginseng (ginseng). RNAcentral's name for it is "long non-coding RNA (PGIN_LNC013134)". Lineage: Eukaryota; Viridiplantae; Streptophyta; Magnoliopsida; Apiales; Araliaceae. The record is from RNAcentral.
AUGAAAUUAUAUUUUUUGAAGUUGUGUGUUGACACCUUGAUUAAUGUGAUAUAUUAAUUUAUGACUACUGCCAUAACAGAGGUAAGAAACUAUUAUUAGUACUAUGUAUAUCAAUUUGCUUUACGAAGUUUACCUUAAGGAGUUAUUAUACAUAAUACUGAAUAUCUUUUAGCUGUUGAAAGUAAUUGAUAUAACAUGAGACUAAACAAGUAACAUAACAUGAUUGAUAUGCUUUUCUCCAGAUCUCUCGGCAUAAGUGUGACGCCCCAAAAAUAGGUAUACAUCACCUAUUUUGAGUCGCCAAAUACAUGGUACAGAAUACAAAUAAAAACUUAAUUAUACAACUGUCGUGUAAAAUACGACAAAACAUAUGCUGUGAGUUUUAAUACAAAUAUUGUCAUCUAGACAAUAUCCACACUCAACUGAGUCCUCAUUAAAUUUAUUAUCACACUAUUUAACAGAAUAGUGAGGACUACUAAUGCUAUUAUCUGGACCGUCACUCCGUUCCCCGACUAGUCCCUGCUACGUUUUCAUUUCCUGAAGAAAACAAUGAAAGCAAAAGGGUGAGCUCAACUAGCCCAGUAAGAAAAUAUUAUGACUAAGAUAAUGCAGAAUAAUCGUUAGCCUUUUACAGUGUUAAACUGAUACAAUAUAACAAACAUCAAGUUUAACUGCAGCGGAACAAACAAUCC